RNAcentral lists this ribosomal RNA (658 nucleotides) under Bacillus sp. JC395. RNAcentral describes it as "bacterial SSU rRNA". It matches the Rfam family "Bacterial small subunit ribosomal RNA", at positions 56 to 694 of the family's 1533-position model. Lineage: Bacteria; Bacillati; Bacillota; Bacilli; Caryophanales; Bacillaceae. The record is from RNAcentral.
UGCAGUCGAGCGGACGUUUUUGAAGCUUGCUUCAAAAACGUUAGCGGCGGACGGGUGAGUAACACGUGGGCAACCUACCUUAUCGACUGGGAUAACUCCGGGAAACCGGGGCUAAUACCGGAUAACAUCUAGCACCUCCUGGUGCCGGAUUAAAAGAGGGCUUCUUGCUCUCACGAUGAGAUGGGCCCGCGGCGCAUUAGCUAGUUGGAGAGGUAACGGCUCCCCAAGGCGACGAUGCGUAGCCGACCUGAGAGGGUGAUCGGCCACACUGGGACUGAGACACGGCCCAGACUCCUACGGGAGGCAGCAGUAGGGAAUCUUCCGCAAUGGACGAAAGUCUGACGGAGCAACGCCGCGUGAGUGAUGAAGGGUUUCGGCUCGUAAAGCUCUGUUAUGAGGGAAGAACACGUACCGUUCGAAUAGGGCGGUACCUUGACGGUACCUCAUCAGAAAGCCACGGCUAACUACGUGCCAGCAGCCGCGGUAAUACGUAGGUGGCAAGCGUUGUCCGGAAUUAUUGGGCGUAAAGCGCGCGCAGGCGGCCUUUUAAGUCUGAUGUGAAAUCUUGCGGCUCAACCGCAAGCGGCCAUUGGAAACUGGGAGGCUUGAGUACAGAAGAGGAGAGUGGAAUUCCACGUGUAGCGGUGAAAUGCGUAGA